This 496-nucleotide ribosomal RNA is filed under the name uncultured bacterium. Its description in RNAcentral is "partial 16S ribosomal RNA". It matches the Rfam family "Bacterial small subunit ribosomal RNA", at positions 28 to 506 of the family's 1533-position model. The record is from RNAcentral.
GAUGAACGCUGGCGGCGUGCCUAAUACAUGCAAGUCGAGCGAACAGACGAGGAGCUUGCUCCUCUGACGUUAGCGGCGGACGGGUGAGUAACACGUGGAUAACCUACCUAUAAGACUGGGAUAACUUCGGGAAACCGGAGCUAAUACCGGAUAAUAUAUUGAACCGCAUGGUUCAAUAGUGGAAGACGGUUUUGCUGUCACUUAUAGAUGGAUCCGCGCCGCAUUAGCUAGUUGGUAAGGUAACGGCUUACCAAGGCAACGAUGCGUAGCCGACCUGAGAGGGUGAUCGGCCACACUGGAACUGAGACACGGUCCAGACUCCUACGGGAGGCAGCAGUAGGGAAUCUUCCGCAAUGGGCGAAAGCCUGACGGAGCAACGCCGCGUGAGUGAUGAAGGUCUUCGGAUCGUAAAACUCUGUUAUUAGGGAAGAACAAAUGUGUAAGUAACUAUGCACGUCUUGACGGUACCUAAUCAGAAAGCCACGGCUAACUACGU